Molecule: ribosomal RNA, 660 nt
Filed under: Escherichia coli WV_060327
Lineage: Bacteria; Pseudomonadati; Pseudomonadota; Gammaproteobacteria; Enterobacterales; Enterobacteriaceae
Description: LSU rRNA
Rfam family: Bacterial large subunit ribosomal RNA
Source: RNAcentral
UAAAGAGUAACGGAGGAGCACGAAGGUUGGCUAAUCCUGGUCGGACAUCAGGAGGUUAGUGCAAUGGCAUAAGCCAGCUUGACUGCGAGCGUGACGGCGCGAGCAGGUGCGAAAGCAGGUCAUAGUGAUCCGGUGGUUCUGAAUGGAAGGGCCAUCGCUCAACGGAUAAAAGGUACUCCGGGGAUAACAGGCUGAUACCGCCCAAGAGUUCAUAUCGACGGCGGUGUUUGGCACCUCGAUGUCGGCUCAUCACAUCCUGGGGCUGAAGUAGGUCCCAAGGGUAUGGCUGUUCGCCAUUUAAAGUGGUACGCGAGCUGGGUUUAGAACGUCGUGAGACAGUUCGGUCCCUAUCUGCCGUGGGCGCUGGAGAACUGAGGGGGGCUGCUCCUAGUACGAGAGGACCGGAGUGGACGCAUCACUGGUGUUCGGGUUGUCAUGCCAAUGGCACUGCCCGGUAGCUAAAUGCGGAAGAGAUAAGUGCUGAAAGCAUCUAAGCACGAAACUUGCCCCGAGAUGAGUUCUCCCUGACCCUUUAAGGGUCCUGAAGGAACGUUGAAGACGACGACGUUGAUAGGCCGGGUGUGUAAGCGCAGCGAUGCGUUGAGCUAACCGGUACUAAUGAACCGUGAGGCUUAACCUUACAACGCCGAAGAUGUUUUG